GGCCCGCACAAGCGGUGGAGCAUGUGGUUUAAUUCGAGGCAACGCGCAGAACCUUACCUACCCUUGACAUGUCCAGUAUGAGCACCAGAGAUGGAGCUCUUCAGUUCGGCUGGCUGGAACACAGGUGCUGCAUGGCUGUCGUCAGCUCGUGUCGUGAGAUGUUGGGUUAAGUCCCGCAACGAGCGCAACCCUCGCUUCUAGUUGCCAUCAUUCAGUUGGGCACUCUAGAGGGACUGCCGGUGAUAAGCCGGAGGAAGGUGGGGAUGACGUCAAGUCCUCAUGGCCCUUACGGGUAGGGCUACACACGUGCUACAAUGGCGGUGACAGUGGGCAGCGACACAGUGAUGUGAUGCUAAUCCCAAAAAGCCGUCUCAGUUCAGAUUGCAGUCUGCAACUCGGCUGCAUGAAGUUGGAAUCGCUAGUAAUCGUAGAACAGCAUGCUACGGUGAAUACGUUCCCGGGCCUUGUACACACCGCCCGUCACACCAUGGGAGUUGGUCAUACCUGAAGACGGUGUUCUAACCCGCAAGGGAGGAAGCCGGCCACGGUAUGGUCAGCGACUGGGGUGAAGUCGUAACAAGGUAGCCGUAGGGGAACCUGCGG
Molecule: ribosomal RNA, 603 nt
Filed under: uncultured Alphaproteobacteria bacterium
Lineage: Bacteria; Pseudomonadati; Pseudomonadota; Alphaproteobacteria
Description: bacterial SSU rRNA
Rfam family: Bacterial small subunit ribosomal RNA
Source: RNAcentral